UACGUAGGGUGCAAGCGUUGUCCGGAAUUAUUGGGCGUAAAGAGCUCGUAGGCGGUUUGCUGCGUCGGCUGUGAAAUCCCGAGGCUCAACCUCGGGUCUGCAGUCGAUACGAGCAAACUAGAGUGUUGCAGGGGAGACUGGAAUUCCUGGUGUAGCGGUGAAAUGCGCAGAUAUCAGGAGGAACACCGGUGGCGAAGGCGGGUCUCUGGGCCGAUACUGACGCUGAGGAGCGAAAGCGUGGGGAGCGAACAGG
RNAcentral lists this ribosomal RNA (253 nucleotides) under uncultured bacterium. RNAcentral's name for it is "partial 16S ribosomal RNA". It matches the Rfam family "Bacterial small subunit ribosomal RNA", at positions 524 to 776 of the family's 1533-position model. The record is from RNAcentral.